GGCUUGGUAGCGGAGGGUCCGUAUCUGCUUCAAAUGGCCAAUUAAAAUUGCAUUAUGAUGCAGACGUCGCCUGUUCAACUCAGGCCCGAGCCA
This is a non-coding RNA of Mycena epipterygia, 93 nucleotides long. NCBI's taxonomy places the organism in Eukaryota, Fungi, Basidiomycota, Agaricomycetes, Agaricales, Mycenaceae. The record is from the annotation of a GenBank genome assembly.